This 253-nucleotide ribosomal RNA is filed under the name uncultured archaeon. RNAcentral's name for it is "partial 16S ribosomal RNA". It matches the Rfam family "Archaeal small subunit ribosomal RNA", at positions 474 to 726 of the family's 1478-position model. The record is from RNAcentral.
CACCCGCGCCACGAGUGGUAGCCACAUUUAUUGGGUCUAAAGCGUUCGUAGCCGGUCAGGUAAAUUCACUGUGAAAUUGUAAGGCUUAACCUUACAGUGUGCAGUGGACACUGCCAGACUAGGGACCGGGAGGAGCUAGAGGUAUUCUUGGGGGAGCGGUAAAAUGCUAUAAUCCCAAGAGGACCACCUGUGGCGAAAGCGUCUAGCUAGAACGGAUCCGACGGUGAGGAACGAAAGCUGGGGGAGCAAUCCG